GCUGGCCAUGGAGCACCUCGAUCCUGUCCUGGACUUCGGCCUGGCCCUGUGGCCCUGCGGGGGAUGGCAGGGCCAGGCCCUGACCUCUGGCUUGAUUUCCAGGCUGGUCUCACACUGGCUUCAUCGCUGCUGUAUUUUCUUACAGUCUAGGCUUGUGCUUCAGCCUGGCUUUUUUUUCCAGGUCUGUCUUGCUUUCCAUGCCUGGAGUGGUGGGACAAGCCUAAGCAGCAUAUUGCUUCCUGGUGUGGCACAACAGAGCUAUUCCACUCACAGCUGGAGCUUAGCUGGCAGCCAGAUGUUCAGUAACAGGAAGGAACUAUUUGCCAUUUGAGCAGCAGAAACUUCUGUGAGCAGUUCAGUUGCAGCACCUGAAAAAUGAGACAUUU
Long non-coding RNA from Vidua macroura (Pin-tailed whydah), 386 nucleotides. RefSeq lists it as uncharacterized. The record is from RefSeq and is a predicted model, not a curated record. The transcript is spliced from 3 exons. NCBI's taxonomy places the organism in Eukaryota, Metazoa, Chordata, Aves, Passeriformes, Viduidae.